GACGAACGCUGGCGGCGUGCCUAAUACAUGCCAGUCGAGCGGACGAUUCGAAAGCUUGCUUUUGAAUCGUUAGCGGCGGACGGGUGAGUAACACGUGGGCAACCUGCCCUGUAGACGGGGAUAACACCGAGAAAUCGGUGCUAAUACCGGAUAACACGAAAUGUCGCAUGACGUUUCGUUUAAAGGCGGCGCAAGCUGCCGCUACAGGAUGGGCCCGCGGCGCUUUAGCUAGUUGGUGAGGGAACGGCUCACCAAGGCGACGAUGCGUAGCCGACCUGAGAGGGUGAUCGGACACACGGGGACUGAGAAACGGCCCAGACUCCUACGGGAGGCAGCAGUAGGGAAUCUUCCGCAAUGGACGAAAGUCUGACGGAGCAACGCCGCGUGAGCGAAGAAGGCCUUCGGGUCGUAAAGCUCUGUUGUUAGGGAAGAACAAGUAACGUAGUAACUGACGUUACUAUGACGGUACCUAACGAGAAAGCCACGGCUAACUACGUG
RNAcentral lists this ribosomal RNA (498 nucleotides) under uncultured bacterium. Its description in RNAcentral is "partial 16S ribosomal RNA". It matches the Rfam family "Bacterial small subunit ribosomal RNA", at positions 28 to 507 of the family's 1533-position model. The record is from RNAcentral.